Non-coding RNA from Ornithorhynchus anatinus (platypus), 138 nucleotides. NCBI's taxonomy places the organism in Eukaryota, Metazoa, Chordata, Mammalia, Monotremata, Ornithorhynchidae. The record is from Rfam.
CCCCUCUCAGGGUCACACCUGGAGAGUUUCAAGUACUCUACCAGUCUCGACCACAGGAGGGAGAGUCAAGCAGAGGCAUAUGCAUUCCAUUCCUAGCUUGGGCAGUGGCUAGUGAGUGGAAGGCAAUCUGCUACAAGU